GAUGUCACCGGUCCUGAUGGUGCCAGUGUCCAGGGAACCCGUCGCGGCGGUGAUGGUGGCCGUGGAUAUGGCGGUGGACGUGGUGGUGGAGGAGGCGGUGGCUAUGGCGGUGGUGGAUAUGGUGGAGGCGGUGGUGGCUAUGGCGGUGGUGGACGAGGUGGAGGCGGUGGCGGUGGUGCAUGCUACAACUGUGGUGAAUCCGGUCACCUUGCUAGGGAUUGCUUCCAAGGAGGCGGUGGAGACAGGUAUGGCGGAGGAGGUGGCGGCGGUGGAAGGUAUGGCGGAGGAGGCGGUGGCGGUGGAAGGUAUGGCGGAGGAGGUGGAGGAGGCGGUGGCGGUGGAAGCUGCUACAACUGUGGAGAGUCAGGGCACUUUGCCAGAGAAUGCCCAACUAAUGCUCGUUGAAGUUUGUUUUAGGGUUUUAUGUUUAUGAUUUGCUUUUAAGGUUUUACUUGAAGAUGUUUAGGAUUUCAGUGGCGCAUGUGUUAUGAAUUUUCAUUAGUAGAAUAGGUGUGUGGGAUUUUGUUUCUCUUUUGGCAAUCAGAUGUUCAUGCGGUCUUAUUACAAAUCUGCAAGCAAGAUCAGAUCUGGCUGGAUUUAUAUUUUGUUAUGGACUUAAAUUUUGUUGUGUUGCAUGGUGAAUUAUUGCUGGUUUAAUAUGAUUCUUUGAGAGUCUUGUUAUGAAGAUUGAAUAUUAUAAUCAGGCGAUAUAUGUUUGCAUGAAUGUUUUCACAGGUUCUUUGUAGUCAUUUGUUUUGAUAGACAUUUAAUAUUUAUCGCAUUUCACAAGAAAUCAC
RNAcentral lists this long non-coding RNA (797 nucleotides) under Vigna radiata. RNAcentral describes it as "long non-coding RNA (VRAD_LNC001433)". The record is from RNAcentral. Lineage: Eukaryota; Viridiplantae; Streptophyta; Magnoliopsida; Fabales; Fabaceae.